GACUUGUGGAUCCAGUCUUCAGGGUCCUGGAGGCACUUUCACAUCACCAAAUUUUCCAUUUCAGUAUGACAGCAAUGCUCAGUGUGUGUGGGUCAUCACUGCUAUCAAUACUAAUAAGGUUAUUCAGAUAAAUUUUGAAGAAUUUGAUCUGGAGAUUGGCUAUGACACGCUGACAAUCGGUGAUGGAGGAGAAGUGGGUGAUCCUAAAACUGUGCUUCAAGUGUUAACUGGGAGCUUUGUACCAGAUUUAAUUGUGAGCAUGAGCAAUCAGAUGUGGUUGCA
Molecule: long non-coding RNA, 282 nt
Organism: Nothoprocta perdicaria
Lineage: Eukaryota; Metazoa; Chordata; Aves; Tinamiformes; Tinamidae
Exons: 3
Source: RefSeq, a predicted model, not a curated record